GACGAACGCUGGCGGCGUGCUUAACACAUGCAAGUCGAACGGAAAGGCCCUGCUUGCAGGGUACUCGAGUGGCGAACGGGUGAGUAACACGUGGGUGAUCUGCCCUGCACUUCGGGAUAAGCUUGGGAAACUGGGUCUAAUACCGGAUAGGAGCCAUCUUUAGUGUGGUGGUUGGAAAGUUUUUUCGGUGUAGGAUGAGCUCGCGGCCUAUCAGCUUGUUGGUGGGGUAAUGGCCUACCAAGGCGGCGACGGGUAGCCGGCCUGAGGGGGUGUACGGCCACAUUGGUACUGAGAUACGGCCCAGACUCCUACGGGAGGCAGCAGUGGGGAAUAUUGCACAAUGGGCGCAAGCCUGAUGCAGCGACGCCGCGUGGGGGAUGAAGGCCUUCGGGUUGUAAACUCCUUUCGCUAGGGACGAAGCUUUUUUGUGACGGUACCUAGAUAAGAAGCACCGGCUAACUACGUG
This 466-nucleotide ribosomal RNA is filed under the name uncultured bacterium. Its description in RNAcentral is "partial 16S ribosomal RNA". It matches the Rfam family "Bacterial small subunit ribosomal RNA", at positions 28 to 507 of the family's 1533-position model. The record is from RNAcentral.